UGGGGAAUUUUGGACAAUGGGGGAAACCCUGAUCCAGCCAUCCCGCGUGUGCGAUGAAGGCCUUCGGGUUGUAAAGCACUUUUGGCAGGAAAGAAACGUCAUGGGUUAAUACCCCGUGAAACUGACGGUACCUGCAGAAUAAGCACCGGCUAACUACGUGCCAGCAGCCGCGGUAAUACGUAGGGUGCAAGCGUUAAUCGGAAUUACUGGGCGUAAAGCGUGCGCAGGCGGUUCGGAAAGAAAGAUGUGAAAUCCCAGAGCUCAACUUUGGAACUGCAUUUUUAACUACCGGGCUAGAGUGUGUCAGAGGGAUGUGGAAUUCCGCGUGUAGCAGUGAAAUGCGUAGAUAUGCGGAGGAACACCGAUGGCGAAGGCAGCCUCCUGGGAUAACACUGACGCUCAUGCACGAAAGCGUGGGGAGCAAACAGG
RNAcentral lists this ribosomal RNA (429 nucleotides) under Acidobacteriota bacterium. RNAcentral's name for it is "Acidobacteria bacterium partial 16S ribosomal RNA". It matches the Rfam family "Bacterial small subunit ribosomal RNA", at positions 355 to 776 of the family's 1533-position model. Lineage: Bacteria; Pseudomonadati; Acidobacteriota. The record is from RNAcentral.